GCCUACGGCCAUACCACCCUGAACACGCUCGAUCUCGUCUGAUCUCGGAUGCUAAGCAGGGUCGGGCCUUGUUAGUACAUGGAUGGGAGACCGCCUGGGAAUACCAGGUGUUGUAGGCU
Molecule: ribosomal RNA, 119 nt
Filed under: Pelobates cultripes (western spadefoot toad)
Lineage: Eukaryota; Metazoa; Chordata; Amphibia; Anura; Pelobatidae
Source: RNAcentral